GACGAACGCUGGCGGCGUGGAUUAGGCAUGCAAGUCGAACGGUAGGAUACCUUCGGGUAUCUGAGAGUGGCGAACGGGUGAGUAACACGUAGGUGAUCUACCCUCAAGAUUGGGACAACCCAGGGAAACUUGGGCUAAUACCGGAUGAAAGCAGCAGUGAUGUUGUUUGAAAGGUGGCGUAAGCUGCCGUUUGGGGAUGAGCCUGCGCUCUAUUAGUUAGUUGGCGGGGUAAAGGCCCACCAAGGCGAUGAUAGAUAGGCGGCCUUAACGGGUGGUCGCCCACACUGGGAUUGAGAUACGGCCCAGACUCCUACGGGAGGCAGCAGUCGAGAAUAGUCUACAAUGGCCGAAAGGCUGAUAGUGCGACGCCGCGUGAACGAAGAAGCCCUUCGGGGUGUAAAGUUCUUUUAUAUGUGAGCAGUGCUUUCUAUGUGAACAGCAUGGGGAGAGAGAUAUUAGCAUAUGAAUAAGCAACGGCUAACUCCGUGCCAGC
This 493-nucleotide ribosomal RNA is filed under the name uncultured bacterium. RNAcentral describes it as "bacterial SSU rRNA". It matches the Rfam family "Bacterial small subunit ribosomal RNA", at positions 28 to 512 of the family's 1533-position model. The record is from RNAcentral.